CUUUUUGCUCUACAAGCUAUUUUACUUUGUUUUAAAAAUGUCUUAUUUUAUUUCUGUAGCUACUCUGGUGAUGGAAGUGAGAGUCUGGAUAAAAAUGUGCCAGUUUCAGUGCUGAGUGAACACUGAAUGAACACUGAAUUCACUGGCUGCAGACAAUUGAUGGUCCCUGACCCCAAGGCCUCACCCCCUCCUCCAGAGUGGGCAAGCAGAUUUUGAUUUUGCAUUGUUUGGUGUGUAAUGGAUCUUUUUGUCAUCAGCAGAUGGAUAACAAACGAAUGGAGAAAGGUCCUUCUGGAGAUUUGAAGCCAGAAAGAAACAAUAAGAUCUGCAUUACGAUAUGCAGAAGAUCUUCAAGUGAGAUGGGGAUCCUCUUCCUGUGUCAGGUUUUCUGAAUCACAAAUCCAUCAAAUUCCAAGAGACAACAAUAACACCAU
This 434-nucleotide long non-coding RNA is filed under the name Lonchura striata (white-rumped munia). Its description in RNAcentral is "domestica (Bengalese finch) lncRNA (ENSLSDG00000012618.1)". Lineage: Eukaryota; Metazoa; Chordata; Aves; Passeriformes; Estrildidae. The record is from RNAcentral.